This 377-nucleotide small RNA is filed under the name Histoplasma capsulatum. Its description in RNAcentral is "hypothetical RNA". Lineage: Eukaryota; Fungi; Ascomycota; Eurotiomycetes; Onygenales; Ajellomycetaceae. The record is from RNAcentral. RNAcentral also lists the same sequence under 1 other name.
ACCUACCGCUGCCAACCUACCUACCGCUGCCAACCUACCUACCGCUGCCAACCUAUCUAUCGCUGCUAAUCUAUCGCUGCUAAUCUAUCACUGCUAAUCUAUCGCUGCUAAUCUAUCGCCGCCAACCUACCUACCGCUGCCAACCUACCUACCGCUGCCAACCUAUCUAUCGCUGCUAAUCUAUCGCUGCUAAUCUAUCGCCGCCAACCUACCUACCGCUGCCAACCUACCUACCGCUGCCAACCUAUCUAUCGCUGCUAAUCUAUCGCUGCUAAUCUAUCGCCGCCAACCUACCUACCGCUGCCAACCUACCUACCGCUGCCAACCUAUCUAUCGCUGCUAAUCUAUCGCUGCUAAUCUAUCGCCGCCAACCUACC